RNAcentral lists this ribosomal RNA (179 nucleotides) under uncultured bacterium. RNAcentral's name for it is "partial 16S ribosomal RNA". It matches the Rfam family "Bacterial small subunit ribosomal RNA", at positions 1322 to 1500 of the family's 1533-position model. The record is from RNAcentral.
GAAGCUGGAAUUGCUAGUAAUCACAGGUCAGCAUACUGUGGUGAAUACGUUCCCGGGCCUUGUACACACCGCCCGUCACACCAUGAGAGUCGAUAACACCCGAAGCCUGUAGUCUAACCAUAAGGAGGACGCAGUCGAAGGUGGGAUUGAUAAUUAGGGUGAAGUCGUAACAAGGUAGC